This is a long non-coding RNA of Oxyura jamaicensis (ruddy duck), 1532 nucleotides long. RefSeq lists it as uncharacterized. The transcript is spliced from 7 exons. The record is from RefSeq and is a predicted model, not a curated record. NCBI's taxonomy places the organism in Eukaryota, Metazoa, Chordata, Aves, Anseriformes, Anatidae.
GCAGCACCCGCGUCCUCCUGGGUGCUACGCUGGGUCCCUGGUAGAUGGAGAAUCAGGGGUUCCCGGCAUCUCCAGUGCAGAUGUAAUUAAAGCCUUGCCUGCCUGCCACAGAGCAUAUGGGACAAGUUAGCAGAGUAAUUAAAUUUUGCAAAGUAUAAUUGUCUAGAUUGGGAGGGGUGAGCACCGAUGUUUGCACGGAGGUUUUUUUGGAUGAGGAAACCUGGAGUUUUCACGCCUUGCUUGUGCGAAGUUGAAUUUCAUUGUUUCCCAAGGAGUCUUCCUGGAGUCCUGCAGAACCUGAGUGCGGCAUUGCUUUUUCCCAGGGAGCCACCUACCAUACACCUUGGGAUAGCUUGCUCAUGCUGUAAACUCUUCUGGCAGCCUGGGCCCUCAGAGGCUCUGCUCAGCAGGAGGAGAGAAGGACUGCAGGGGACAGGAGCUGCCGUUGUGGGCACAAGGUAAAGCAGAAAAAAGCAACACGAAGUGUCUCAAAUGCUGGAGAGGACUGUUGCUGGAACUGAAGGUGUGGAAUGACAGGCAUAGAUUUCACGGCUACCAAUCAGCUGCUCUCCAGCUGCAGUAAUAAUGUGUAGGAUGGCAGUUGCCUCCAGUGGCUGUUUAAAUUAAACACAGAUCUACUGAAUAGACACCGAGUGCCAAGAGAUCCCUUUCGGGAGAAGAACAUGUGUUCUGAAAACCUGUAGCUGUGUCACCUUCAAGCUGUCAUUUCAGGGGGAUAUUGCAAGCAAGGUACAGCCAGCCCAGCUUACGAUUUGCAUGGGAGACAUCUGAGACACUACAGGAUUCCCCAGCAGCUGUGAUAGCUCAGGCACUCGUGCUGGCAAGCUGCAGUUGGAGACGGUGCUGGGAGCCGGGCAUUUCCAGUGAUUGUUUCUCAACUCUGUUUCCCAAGAGGACAUCAAUUUUGAUCUUAAAAGCUCUCGGCGAAGACAAUGAGCAUUUAUCUAAGGCUCACUGCAUCUGGCGUGCUCCGUCCCUUCUCCCUCAGAUUAAUCUCACCUGGAGAAGGACUGCAUCCUUACACACGGGGUGCCGACCUUCCUGCUCCCGAGGGUGUGUGCAGCUGGAUGCCUGUGGCAUUGUGGCAGCGGAGGAAGUGCUUCUGGUCAGGAAAAUAAGCCCCGUCUGCAGCAUUGUCAGUAGGCUCUGAUGCUCAUAUAUCUUUUUAUUAGUUCUCACUCCUGCUAGUAUGUACCCAGCAUAGUCUAGGGUCUCUAAGAGAGUUUUCCAAAUCCACCUAGGCAGGAUUAGCACCAACAUAUGUGCUCGGAGCGGAGGAGAAACUGGCAGACCCAGUGUUUUCUGCCCUGCUCUGACACAGGCCUCUCUACCCAGCCUUCAUCUGGUUUAGCUUUCUUUUGUGAAGAGGAAAGCAGUUCUUCUGGGGGAAACUUUACCUCACUUUUGCAUUGCUGGGCUGGCAAGAAUUCCGGCCAGGCAGUGCCAUUGCUGCUGGUGCAGGUAUUUCUUGGCUAUCACCAGCACUGUGCUUGGGUUUCACUAGGGUAUGC